UGGCUUAGGACGAACGCUGGCGGCGUAGCCUAACACAUGCAAAGUCGAACGAUAAUCUACUUAUGAAAUUUCGGAUGGAUUAGGUAGAGGAAAGUGGCGAACGGGUGAGUAGCGCGUGAGCAAUCUGCCUUGUACUGGGGGAUAACGUCGGGAAACCGGCGCUAAUACCGCAUAAUACUACGAGAUCGCAUGGUCAUAUAGUCAAAACUCCGGUGGUACAAGAUGAGCUCGCGUCCAAUUAGCUAGUUGGUGGGGUAAUGGCCCCACCAAGGCGACGAUUGGUUGCCGAACUGAGAGGUUGAUCGGCCACAUUGGGACUGAGACACGGCCCAGACUCCUACGGGAGGCAGCAGUGGGGAAUAUUGCGCAAUGGAAGGGAACUCUGACGCAGCAACGCCGCGUGAAGGAUGAAGGUUUUCGGAUUGUAAACUUCUUUGAUCGGGGACGAAAUUGACGGUACCCGAGGAACAAGCCACGGCUAACUACGUGCCAGCCGCUGC
This 500-nucleotide ribosomal RNA is filed under the name uncultured bacterium. RNAcentral's name for it is "bacterial SSU rRNA". It matches the Rfam family "Bacterial small subunit ribosomal RNA", at positions 20 to 518 of the family's 1533-position model. The record is from RNAcentral.